AGCUCCAGCAGGUCCUUACCUUCCCUCUAUUUGAGUACAGAGGGACAGGAAGAAAAAAAUGUAGGAAAUCGUCUCCACCUGCACUUCAUCCAGGCAGAUGCUGAUAUUUUGCAAACCCACUGACGUGAAGACUCCUUGUGAUAGAAAACCAGCGUAAGCUGAUACGGAGUGUGCCAAGCUGCAGGGAAGACGUGCAGCCCAGCAAGCUGCGCUGGGUGGGAGUCGGGAUAAACCUUUCCUUUGGGGCAACAUCGAACGUAACACCCAGGAUUGUCCUCUGCAUUCAGCCCAGACAUUCAGAAACAUUUGCUCCUUUCCUACGGAGCCCCAGGAGUCUGCUGGAUUCCAGCCAGGAAACCUGGUAUCCCACCGUGAACAAUGAGAUUUUAUGGGGCAACUCUGUGCAAAAAAAGCGAACGGGCAUUUUAUCACCAGACUCUUCACAUUUAGCAUUUCCCCGCAGUACUUACAGGCAACUGUCGGGGGACAUUCUAUAGUUAUA
Molecule: long non-coding RNA, 502 nt
Organism: Cygnus atratus (black swan)
Lineage: Eukaryota; Metazoa; Chordata; Aves; Anseriformes; Anatidae
Exons: 3
Source: RefSeq, a predicted model, not a curated record